Molecule: ribosomal RNA, 354 nt
Filed under: uncultured Lactobacillus sp.
Lineage: Bacteria; Bacillati; Bacillota; Bacilli; Lactobacillales; Lactobacillaceae
Description: bacterial SSU rRNA
Rfam family: Bacterial small subunit ribosomal RNA
Source: RNAcentral
UGUCAGCUUUUAAAAGGCGGCGUAAAGCUGUCGCUAUGGGGAUGGCCCCCGCGGUGCAUUAGCUAGUUGGUAAGGUAAAGGCUUACCAAGGCGAUGAUGCAUAGCCCGAGUUGAGAGACUGAUCGGCCACAUUGGGGACUGAGACACGGCCCAAAAACUCCUACGGGAGGCAGCAGUAGGGAAUCUUCCACAAUGGACGCAAGUCUGAUGGAGCAACGCCGCGUGAGUGAAGAAGGUUUUCGGAUCGUAAAGCUCUGUUGUUGGUGAAGAAGGAUAGAGGUAGUAACUGGCCUUUAUUUGACGGUAAUCAACCAGAAAGUCACGGCUAACUACGUGCCAGCAGCCGCGGGUAAU